GAUCAACGCUGGCGGCGUGCAUAACACAUGCAAGUCGAACGAUGAAGAUUAAAUGAUUUCUUCUGCAUGAACUUAAUUGGAUUAGUGGCGGCCGGGUGAGUAACGCCUGAGUAACCUGCCUUGUACAAGGGGAUAGCCGUUGGAAACGACGAAUAAUACCCUAUGACAUCAAAUAAUCGCAUGAUACUUUGAUCAAAGAUUUAUCGGUAUAAGAUGGACUCGCGUCUGAUUAGCUAGUUGGUAGAGUAAAAGCCUACCAAGGCAACGAGCAGUAGCCGGAUUGAGAGAGGGUACGGGCAGAUUGGGACUGAGACAAGGCCCAGACUGCUACGGGAGGCAGCAGUGGGGAAUGUUGCACAAUGGGGGAAACGCUGAUGCAGCGAGGCCGCGUGAUUUAGAAGGCCUUCGGGUAGUAAAAAUCUUUUGUAUGGGAAGAAAAUGACGGUACCAGACGAAUAAGGACCGGCUAAUUACGUG
Molecule: ribosomal RNA, 477 nt
Filed under: uncultured bacterium
Lineage: Bacteria
Description: partial 16S ribosomal RNA
Rfam family: Bacterial small subunit ribosomal RNA
Source: RNAcentral